Long non-coding RNA from Ailuropoda melanoleuca (giant panda), 8284 nucleotides. RefSeq lists it as uncharacterized. NCBI's taxonomy places the organism in Eukaryota, Metazoa, Chordata, Mammalia, Carnivora, Ursidae. The record is from RefSeq and is a predicted model, not a curated record. The transcript has 3 exons.
GAAGGCAUGGCGAGUGCGCAUACCCUCUCUCCACCAUGAUGCCCUCUUCUUUCGAGUUCAUCACUUGGGUGGUUUUGUAUCCAGGGGUAACCACGGCCCUCUGCGUGUUCUGUGGAAGCAGCCACAGCCCCGGUAAGGGUGACUAGCCGCCCCCGAGCGCGUUCCUGGAAGGCGGACCCCAGAAGGGGGGCAGAGGUUGACGGUUAAUUCCGUGUCUUGAUUACCUGCAGCAUUUUUUCUGUACUUUUAAAAUAAAAAUAGCGUUUUUCUGCUUAUAACAAAAAUACUCUUUGUAAACAGUUCCAACAAGUGAGAUUGGAAAGUGGGAAUUCGUAGCCCUUCCUCUGCACUGACAGUCAUGGUUCUGGGGCCAAAGCGGGCUCACUAUGAGAGGUGGGGGUGCCCGCGAAGGCCACCGCAUGUGGGUCCCUUGUGGGUCUGAUGGCAGUACUGCUGCGGGCCUCUGCUCUUCCCUCCAGCAUGUCUGACCUGCAUGUGUCUGACCUUUGGUCCCGGUACAUGUGUGUUUGGACCAAGACUUAGUCUGUGCCCAGCGCUCACCUCUGUGGGCAGCAAGGGGAGACAGCAGGGGCUGGGGCUGCAGGGGACAACAGCAUCUGCAGAGUUCUGCUUCCCCUCUAAUUCCGUCUGGGGCUCCUGAUGCUGGACAAGGACACAUCAACACAAGUGCCCAGGAUUGUCCACAGGUUCCGGAUUCUGCUUGACGGGUCAUCUGGCGCUGCUGACCCAGGUGGUUGGGGUGGAGUUGGGGGAGUAUCUAGGGUGACUGGACCCCCUGCCCUUUCAGACAGUAGUGCCUGACUCGGAGGGGGUUCACUUGUGUUGAGUCCAGAGAAUUCAGAGCUUGGGAAAGCCCGCUCCAGGUACAGAUGCCACACCUGUGGGAAGCAGAAAGUCCUGCCUGCCCAGGAGCCCUGUCUCAGGUUUGUGAGGACCUUUCACAACCCCGAGUUACCCAGCAGGGGAGGACUGUCCACUGCGGAUAGUGAGAGAUAGUAAAGGAGAGGCCAGCCUUUUGGUGAAAGGUGGAAUGUCUAUGUCCCUCUUUCCUUAGGUGCCAGCGACUCUGCCCCUUCAUCCUGUUCUCCUCUUGGGGACCCCACUUUCUGUCCAGAAGGAAGCCAGCAAGGCAGCUGGCUGAGCCUGUCCAGACCCAGCCAGCAGGUCAGUCUGCCCUGCGGACGCUGCCUCCACGGAACGGUGGGGAAGUACACGGUCACCUCCUGAGAGCCUGCGGAAGACCCCUGCCCUCCUCUUGGAUGACUCGGCCUGCGAGACGUGGUCAGCAAGACUGAGAGUUUCUGCCGCUGUGCGCCAACACUCCUUGCGGCUGUACUUGUAUGUGUCCCUGGAACUUGGGGGCUCUUUGGAGCUGUCGUUUACGUGGAACUUGUGAGCCAUUUUGAACCGCUUAAAGGAGUAGACGCUGCUAGCAAUGAGCUCCCAAAGCCAUCCAGGAACGCCUUCCGAAGAGCCCGGCGCGGCUCCCGUCUGCUGCGGCGGCCCGCCAGGCGUUCUCGGAGCGCCCGGCGCGAGAACAUUUGCAGCUCUUGAACCGUCACCAUCCCGGUCCCCCAUGCUGUCAUUAUCUGCGAUCUCAAUCAGUCAAGGUUUGUUCUGGAAAUGAUGGAGACAUAAUGACUUCUUUUUCAACCUACUUUUUUUUUCCUUUUUUUUAAUCCUCAAAUUGUGUUUUGUCUUUUAAAAAUCACGAAUACUCAGUCGUUACGAAAAGCUUGGAAAAUUCACUGUCAAUGGAGCAUUGAUGGUUUGUUUUGGCAAUUCUCUGAAAAUUCUUAUACAGUAUGUGGAACAUUUGCAUUUAUGUCCUUUUUUUCAAAGCCACCAUUGUAGAAAUGCAAAUUUCUGAGUUCUGAGAUGCUGAAUGUUGGAUGAUUAAUGAUAUUGAAAUUUAAGAAUGAACUUGCGGUGUAUAUUUGACAUAGAAAACCCAGUGCGAGAAUGAUUAGAAGCCAUUGAGCACAGUGUGGCAGUGGAACAGAAAGGCCUUCAUGGAUGCGCCUGGCGGCGGGGGGCAGGUCUGGCGCGGACAGGUGCGGAGAUGUGCGGCCACCUCCAGACGUCAGGCUGGGCUCUGCUUAACUGUAGACGUUGAAAACUUGUAAUAGUGACAAAUCCAUGUUGGUUUCUUGAGUGCUCCAAGCCAAGAGGCGCCGUACUCUCAGGAUGCCAGAGUGAACAGCAUGUCCAUUCUGAGUCAUGGUUUGCACCUGUCGCAUUUGGGUUGCAUGAUGACCCUGUGAAGCGGGCUAGUGCACCAUGAUUCCUGUUUUGUAGAUGAGGAAACCGGUGUUGACUGCUGCCGGGUGUGUAGCUUCAUGUCAGGCGGCUAAUUGGAGGCCAGCCUGGAACAAGAAUUGGUUCCCUGCCCUUGGGGGGGGGGUAUGCCCUGUGCUGGCAGACGCUGGGUGCACUGGACUGUGUCCGAAGGUGAUCCAGCUGACCUGCAUGGAGCUUCCAGGCCCUGUAGUGUGGUUCAUGGGAUGAGAGGAGGUGGGCGGGGGCAUGCCCCACCCCUCGAAGGGAUGUGUGAGGUCAGGACUGGGGAGCCAGAUCAGAAAGCAGGGCAGGAGCUCACUUGCCCAGGUGGGGCACUGGGGGCUGGGCCCAGGGGCCUGGAGGUGGGAGCUUGGCGUGGCGGAGAGGGAGACAACAAGCAGAGAGGUAGGUGUGGGGUACUGGCUCUGGGGUAGGACGGGUGACAUGUUUCUAAUUCCCUUGGUUCCAAGACCCUGUAGGUGCUGAGAAGGGGUUGUGGGCCUGAGUCUCCUGCCCCUUCGUGCUGUGCCCUCCCCUGGGACACACGCUUGGUGUUCCGUUGUUUUAAAUGAGCGUUGUUUUCCGUGGUUGCUUUGGUGCCGCUUGCCAUGUGACUUGGGAAUAUUCCUGGACUUACUCUGAACUUCUCUUUGCCAAUUCUUGGACUGGAAGCUGACUGGGUGAUUGGCAGACCUGGUUAAUUUGGGAGAUUUGAGUUCAAACUUCUCAUUUUGUUUCUACUUAAGAGUCUUUUAUUUGCUUAUUUCAUGAGAACAUGAUAAAAGGUAGUCGCUUUUAGGAAAAUAACGGUUAAGAAAAAAUUAAAUCUAAAAAUCAAACUUUUAGGAGCAUAUCUGGCUUUGUGUUUUUAAAUCGGUUUGCUCUUAGCCACUUAAUCAGUAAGAUACUGGGCAUAUUGGCUUUUAAGGAGUGAUAAGCAGUGUAUGAUGAAAAGAAGCCUUAUGUUCCAUAUUGGCCCCUCCUUUCAUUCCCCUUUCUAGAACACAAAUAGGAAAGAUAAAUUAUGCCUCUCGCGGAUUGAGGGCACCGGCUGAUGGGAGCUUGGUCCUGGGGCGAGCAGCCCACGCAGGGCGGGGAGCGAGGUGGCUGCUCCCCAGGAGGGCUGCACUGGGUUUGAGGCUUGGGUCAUCUUUUAGGGUCGUAAACCCAGAUGUUCUAGGGUGGCCUUUGCCCUGUUGGACUUCAGGCUCCCUGUCACCCUUGGUCCUUAUCACCCCCUCCUCCGCCCAGUGUUCCUGCUGCUGUCCCUUGAGUGCGAUGAUCCUGACUUGGAACAUUCCAUGCUGAAAUGCAACUUCAGAGCUUUGGGGAUUUUAAUGCGAAAACCAACGUGUCAUGUUACAACCAUUUCCUCACUUUUGCUAAUACCGCUUCCUUUUGAAAGGUAGUAGGUGAGGCUUGCUGCAAAGUGAUACGAUUUUUAAAAUAAAAUACAUAGUUGUCUUAUAUUAACUUGUUCCAUUUCAGAUAGCAUUUGUAAAGAAGUAUGGAAGUUUCGUUUAAGCCCCUUGAUGUUAAGUAUGUGUUCGUCUCUAAUGGGGGAGUGUUUUCGCACAGAACUACCUUCCACAGCCCAGAGGAGCUCCUCCUCUCAGUGCCCACUGUCCAUGUGUUGAGGAUUCCUUGUCCUUGGUGAGCCUUUCCCGGGGAACUUUUGCGGUUGGUGGCAGUUGUUCACUUUUUACAAUCUUUAACUCUUAGGCUGUGUUUUAGAAGGUCACUCCUUAAGACCUGGUUGUUGAGGGCUAAAGCCAAGAGGAAACCUUGCAUUUUAAGAGCUGAAGAUUCUAUUGUGAUUUGUUUGCAUUUGUGGCCAAAGUUUAUUCCUUUCAAAAUGUAUACGAAUUUUCCUAGGAAAUCCUUUGUAGAAAUUGGCCUUUUAUUAUAACUGUGUUUCUUAUCGACUUGUUGGUUCAGUGGGAUCUGUGAAAUGCUGUUGGAGUUCCAGAGAAUUCCAUGGGUCUGCUGUCAGCUCACGGAGGUUUUCUAGACGCUGUAUGAAGAGCCCUUUCUAACCCACUCACACCUGCUGCGGUGUGGGCGCGUGGAGCAGAAAUUCUCCCUUCGGAGUAGGGCAGCGCGUGCAGCCUUCUCGGCUCUCCUCGUGUUUAGCUCAUGUUGAUUUAAUCCAGACCAGGGCUGCCUGGCUGAUUCUAAAGCCCCAUCUCCCCACCAUGGUCUGACAUACAGAAUGCAAACCUGCUCGUCGUUCUUUUGUGCUUGAAAAGCUGGGGGGCCUAGUGCUGUCUUCGCCUGAAUGCCUGCGGUGGCCUCGUGGCCACGCAAGGGAGGCGCUCUUCAUCCCGGGUCCCCCGCGUGUGCCCCCACGGCGCCGGCUGCUUCAGUGCUGUCUCACAGACAGGAUCAGGGGAGCGGGGCAAGGCGGGGUUAAUUGAUUCUUUCUUCGGUGCUGGUAGACAGAAAGAGUUUUUAGAAAGUUUGAGAAGGCAUUGGGGGAGCUGGACACAUGGGAAGCAGAGAUUCUCACUGGGAACAGUCGAACUGUCUGCUCUGACAUCUUUCUGUGAUUUGGUCCCUUCUGUUCCUCCCCAGCCAUCAGGAGCACUUUGUACGACAUUGUUUCUCCUAGCGGCGUGGAAGGGUAGGUGGGACUGUGUCCACAUGAGCACGUGAGGGGCACAGGUCAGCCUCUCUGUGGCCGGUCCAGCCCCGGUUCUCGGCAGGGCUGGGGGUGUCCUGGAUGUGAGGGGGUGGCAGCGCCUGGCAGGUGACAGGCCACUGCCUAGAGCCUGGACACCACAUGUCCUGGACAGCUGCAGAGACCGUCCUAGCUCAGUGGUGCUGGAGAGGAAGGCACUGGGGGGCAGGGGGGCUUCCCCCUCUUGCAGGUUCCCAGCCUCUUCAUGGCCCAUCCUGGACAUUGGCCGGCACCUCUGUGGGGAUCAGACUCACACAGCCUGGCGGCCCUGGCUGAUGUAGACGUGCCUUUCUUUGCCCUUGGCUGGGCUUUCCCUGAGCUCUCCGAGAGGCCGCAGGACUUGGUGCGGGAGAACCACCAGCUGGGGUGUUUGUGUCGUAGGUUUCCUCUGUCUUCUGAUCCUACGUGGCCCCUGUUACGUGAGGAUUUGGAGACCAGUUUGCGUGGGUACAGCCUCAGCAGUCGUAGCUCCUAAGGAGGUGGCAUUUGGAACCCUUUCCUAGUCGGUUUCGGGGGACGCUGGGCUGUGUGUGUCAUUCUAAGGGAGGAGUCUGCUCUGGCCGAGGGAUGUUAUUUCAGACAUCAGGACUGUCUGUGAGGAGAAAAGAGCAACUAAUGUCUUUCUUGACUUGGUUAAACUGCCUGAAAGAAUAUCAUUUUAGCAUUUCUCAACAAUUUCCAGUUCUGAAAUAUUUGGGCUUCCCCUGGGGGAUGGGCAGGGGCAGGGGCUGGGUGAGCCACGGGCAGAGACAGCUCUGUGUGCCGACCAUGCCACCUCUGCAGGAGGAAUGUCAGUGGGGUUUGUUGGCCUGGCCUGGUCGUCCUUGAUGGUGGGGCCAUGCUGCCUCGGACCAGGCCCUGGCCCUUCAGAAAGGCCCCUGGCUUUGGUUUUUGUUUCCAGGCCAGCGCCUGCUUCGUGGUUUCUAAGAGGGCAGCACGGUGGCAGAUGGGUAGGUGAUCUUGUUCUUUCUCCCUGGAGGGGCCUCCACUGUGGCACUGGGGGUAGGCUUCCAAGUAGGGCCGUCCUGUAUUUACAGUCAAAACCAGACCCUUCUACAACAGAAAGGGGGUAGACAUUCAGUAUCACCUGGGCCUGGCCUGCCACACCUGGUUGGAUGGUCAUCCUCAUUCUUACCUGGAGGAGUUUGGGUCCAAGAGGGCAGCCAGUGUUCACCUGGACAGGAGCAGACAGGUAGCCCAUGCAUGAGUUCCUAUAUUCAUUUGAGACAUUGCUUGAAAUCACUAACCAAGAUAACAUCUUUACCAUUGUUUUCUACAAAGCCAGGUUCUGUAUUUUCUGAUUUUAUGUAAACUAAAACACAGUUUUCACAGAUUUUUGUUAAAUACAGGUUUCCUAUGCCUUCACAAUUUUUUGGGAAACCUUUCAAGUCAAUUCUACACACUUGUUCUUGUUGGAAACAAAAAUCUCUAUCACUGGGAAGCUGAAACCAAGCUCGGGUAGACUCUCGGCGUGGGGCAUGAGCUGCGAGGCACGGGCCAUGCCUUGUGUGGCCCAAGAAUCCUGCUCCAGAACCUUCCACCUGUGGCUUUUGAAAUGUUCUCUGUGGCUGCGUCUCUUUUGCCUUGGAUGCUUAGGGAAUCUUCUGGAUUGACUGAGCUGAGAAGCUCAUUGAAUAUGGUGGUCUCUCUCUGGGAGUAGGUAGCUCGAAGUCCAUACACAUCCCGUGGCGACUGCAGCACAUUUAGAAAGCUGCCCAAGAGAAAGGACAGGUGUCCGCUUGCUCACAUUUUUAUGCAGUGAUAGGUGAAUUUUGAACAUCAGCUUCUAGUUCUGGAUUUACAAGACAAGCGUGAGUAGACUUUGGAUGGGAUAGUUACUCAGCAGCGCUAGGCCAGGCUGUCCAGUGUCUGCACUUGGGGCAGGGUGCUGUGAGCUGAGGAUCAGACCCAGGUUGGAAUCACAAAGAUUUCAGUGCACUCUGCCCAGGUUGGAAAAGGCUUCCCGUAGAAAGAGUUUCAGGUACCUCUUGAGUGAAGGGAAGCAGGGGCCCAGGUUAGGCUCAGGUCAGAGGAGAGGGUGACAGGGGAGGCUGCCUGGCCGCGUGCAGGGAGGGGAGGGAGGGGAGGAGGAGAGGCAGCAGGCCUCAGCUUUGGGCUUCAAGGGAGGAGCUCUGGAAGGUUGCAGAGCAGUUCUCUUGGGGACGGAGGUGGGACGGAUGCGGCUGGUGGCCUGGAGCACCCAUCUGAGCACAGAGAUUUCCCUCUGCUCUUUCUGGAAUCCUCUCUUGUCUGUGAGCAGCCUGGCGCCGGCUGGUGGGUGGGGCUGAGCCGCACCUUCCUUCAGGGCCAUCCCUGAGUGCCAGCCUCUGCUCAGACCCAUUUCUGGAUCUUUCUCUAAGCCGGGCCCCUGGGAUUAGACAUCAGAGGGGUUCCCUCCCCUUUCUCAUUUCCUUUUCCCUCCGCUGGGAUAGCAGUGUACAAAACCGAGCCAGCUUUCCUUGUCCUUGUUCGGCCCUUGUCCCAAGCCCGGGCUGGGUCCAGGCUGUGAUGGCUCCCGCGGGGCCGGGUCUGCAGUCAUCGGCCCGAACGGUCGUCGUGGCGGCUCGCACCGUUCCUGGAAAGCAUGCUCACAUGCAGCCGGGGCCACGGGGGUGCAGCCUGGCUCUUCCGUCGCCGUUGGUCUGUAGGGAGCGGGAGCUGGCUCUGGGCGGUGCGGGCCCUGUUCAUUCAUCCUUCUUGCUGGAUGCCUGUCGGGAGCUCAGGAGGGGACAGGAGCGACAGCCCGGGCUGCGACUGCCUGACGGGCUCGCUCACUUGUCGCCACAAGGCCUGAUGAAGAUGGAAGCCUUUGAUCCUUGCUCCUUUUCUGCCAAAUUUAGGUCUUGCUUUGUUGCCUCGCUUGCGUCCUGAUUUCCUCCUGUGAUCCAAGAGGUAAGUGGCUUCAGGUGGGGUUUUCUGUUGACAGAGAAGCUCUGCGCCAUGGGUGCCCUUGCGGGCCGUGGGGGUCCGUGCGUGUCCGUGCAUGUACGUGGGAGUCCGUGGGGGUCCGUGGGGGUCCGUGUGUGUACGUGGGGGUCCGUGGGCAUCCAUGGGGGUCUGUGCAUGUACUUGUGGGUCCGUGGGCGUCCGUGCGGGUCCGUGGGCAUUCGUGGGGGUCUGUGCAUGUACGUGGGGGUCCGUGCGGGUCUGUGGGGGUCCGUGCGGGUCCGUGGGGGUCCGUGCCGCCGCCUGCUCCCUGCAGCCCGAGUGUGCAUCGCGCGGGCGGCUGAGGCCCAGCCACCUGGUGCCGUGGUCUUCAGAGGCCGGCCAUUUGUGUGGCAGCCAGCGGCUGUUCGGGGCCAC